AACUGUCUCUUGCAGGCAAUCGGUGAAAUUGAUCUCCCUGUGCAAAAGCAGGGAUAAACCCAUAAGACAAGAAGACCCUGUGGAACUUCAAAAUCAGCAACCAUCCCAUAUUACAUAAACACCCACCGGGCCCACUAACACAUGGGCACUGGCUUGCAUUUUUUCGGUUGGGGCGACCUUGGAGAAAAACAAAUCCUCCAAAAAUUAGACCUUACCUCUAGACUAAGAGCGACGGCUCAACGUGCUAAUAGCAACCAGACCCAAUAUAAUUGAUCAAUGGACCAAGCUACCCCAGGGAUAACAGCGCAAUCUCCUUUAAGAGUCCAUAUCGACAAGGAGGUUUACGACCUCGAUGUUGGAUCAGGACAUCCUAGUGGUGCAGGAGCUACUAAGGGUUCGUUUGUUCAACGAUUAACAGUCCUACGUGAU
RNAcentral lists this ribosomal RNA (429 nucleotides) under Myophonus caeruleus. RNAcentral's name for it is "partial large subunit ribosomal RNA". It matches the Rfam family "Bacterial large subunit ribosomal RNA", at positions 2014 to 2604 of the family's 2925-position model. The record is from RNAcentral. Lineage: Eukaryota; Metazoa; Chordata; Aves; Passeriformes; Muscicapidae.